RNAcentral lists this ribosomal RNA (229 nucleotides) under uncultured bacterium. Its description in RNAcentral is "partial 16S ribosomal RNA". It matches the Rfam family "Bacterial small subunit ribosomal RNA", at positions 568 to 796 of the family's 1533-position model. The record is from RNAcentral.
UGCGCAGGCGGAACUUUAAGUCAGUGGUGAAAUCUUGCCGCUUAACGGUAAAAUUGCCAUUGAUACUGAAGUUCUUGAAUAUGGUUGAGGUAGGCGGAAUGUGUUGUGUAGCGGUGAAAUGCAUAGAUAUGACACAGAACGCCGAUUGCGAAUGCAGCUUACUAAGCCAUUAUUGACGCUGAGGCACGAAAGCGUGGGGAGCGAACAGGAUUAGAUACCCUGGUAGUCC